AACGGCCGUACCAUGCUGAAUAUACCGGUUCUCGUUAAAUCAUCGAAGUUAAGCAUCAUUGGGCGCGAUCAGUACUUGGGUGGGUGACCACCUGGGAACACUGCGUGCCGUU
This 112-nucleotide ribosomal RNA is filed under the name Caerostris darwini. The record is from RNAcentral. Lineage: Eukaryota; Metazoa; Arthropoda; Arachnida; Araneae; Araneidae.